ACCACCGGGCCGGGCUCUCCCCCGCAGUCCCCGCCCGCCGCCGCCGCCGCCGGAGCUGCCACUGUCCCCUACACUGAGCCUGCCCACAGCCUGGGGGCGCCCCCCGGGCACCUGACUCUGGCUGGCACCCUGGGCAGGGGCACACGGUUCCUGUGGGAAAGGCCCCGUGGGGACAAAGGGGGCCCGGGGGAGCCCAGAAAACGAGGAAGGAGAAACCUGAGCCUCGUGCCGCCGAGAGCAAGGCCCCGGGACCUCAGGGUCCUGGACGAGAAGCAGGCCUGGCCAUGGUUGGAACUGGAGAUUGGUUAUACCUGGUGUUGUUCAGAAAGAUGCAAUUUUAAAGGAAGAAAAAAGCACAAAAAUAAUUUCAGGACAGGAAGGCUCAGGAGACACUAGGUAGCUUCUAAUUUCCCCCCAAAUAGUUCACUGCAUCUCUUCUUUUGGGGGAGGGGCAGCAGGACUCAUUAGCCUGAUUUACAGACACAGAGAGGCUCGGGACCAGCACGACGGAAUGAAGCGUGGAGCUGUAACUCGUUUGGGGCCGUUUCUUCCCGGCCCAGUGCUCCUUUCAGGGGGCACGCGAAGGUGGGUGUGCAAAAGCCUUCACUACUACGUCCGUCCCAGAAUCCGGCUGCCCUGCCUGGGGGGACACACAGAUCACUGGGAUCACGAGUCAUUACUAGGGAGGCCCCUGAUGGUUGUUUCCAGAAUUGCAGGCAAAAAAGCAAUAAAGAAACCGUAGGUCA
Canis lupus familiaris (dog) is the source of this 746-nucleotide long non-coding RNA. RefSeq lists it as uncharacterized. The record is from RefSeq and is a predicted model, not a curated record. NCBI's taxonomy places the organism in Eukaryota, Metazoa, Chordata, Mammalia, Carnivora, Canidae. The transcript has 2 exons.